AUGCAAGACAGAUUUAGGGGCUUUAAGUCCAUCCCACCUCAAAAUGUCCUAGCAGCUGUUGAUUUUGACUUGCGAUUCAUCUAUGUGCUUGCUGGGUGGGAGGGAUCUGCCCAUGACUCUCUAGUGCUUCAAGAUGCUUUAAGUCGUCCCACUAGAUUAAAAAUACCAGAAGGAAAAUUCUUCUUACCUGGUGCUGGAUAUGCAAGUAGACCUGGAAUACUACCGCUGUACCGUGGUGUUCGUUAUCACCUAAAAGAAUACAGAGGGGAUACAAAUCCAUCAGAUUAUAAGGAAUUAUUUAAUCACCGCCACUCCUCAUUGAAAACGCAAGUGAAGGUUGUGGUUGCAUGUUGUGCACUUCACAAUUGGAUCCUAGAGAAUGGUAUUGACGAGUAUGUCCUAGAGAAUGGUGAUAUCCACUCCAAAUGUUUUUCGCAGGACCACCACGGUGUUGAUGGCUCUCGCUCUCGCUCUCCCACCUCCUCCUCCCCCUCCUCCACCUCCACCUCCGGCCUCCAGCCACGCUCCAGUCACCACAAACCCCCCGGAUGGCCCUCAACCUGA
RNAcentral lists this ribosomal RNA (564 nucleotides) under Triticum aestivum (bread wheat). Its description in RNAcentral is "partial small subunit ribosomal RNA". The record is from RNAcentral. Lineage: Eukaryota; Viridiplantae; Streptophyta; Magnoliopsida; Poales; Poaceae.